GGGUCAGUAGGUUGGUCAUGCCACUGGUAUGUACUGGUCUCACUGAUUCCUCCUUCCUGAUGAGCUGUAAUGCCAUUAAUUUGGUGUUGCGGGGAAUCUGGACUGUUACUUUGAAAAAAUUAGAGUGUUCAAAGCAGGCCUAUGCCCGAAUACAUUAGCAUGGAAUAAUAGAAUAGGACGUGCGGUUCUAUUUUGUUGGUUUCUAGAGUCGCCGUA
Molecule: ribosomal RNA, 216 nt
Filed under: Campeiostachys nutans
Lineage: Eukaryota; Viridiplantae; Streptophyta; Magnoliopsida; Poales; Poaceae
Description: Elymus nutans partial small subunit ribosomal RNA
Rfam family: Eukaryotic small subunit ribosomal RNA (bases 44-216)
Source: RNAcentral